UACGUAGGAUGCUAGCGUUGUCCGGAUUUACUGGGCGUAAAGCGCGCGCAGGCGGCACUGUAAGUAAGGUGUGAAAUAUCCCUGCUCAACGGGGAGGGUGCACUUUAGACUGCAGAGCUAGAGGACGGUAGAGGGGGGUGGAAUUGCUGGUGUAGCGGUGAAAUGCGUAGAGAUCAGCAGGAACACCCGUGGCGAAGGCGGCCCCCUGGGCCGAACCUGACGCUGAGGCGCGAAAGUGUGGGGAGCGAACAGG
This 253-nucleotide ribosomal RNA is filed under the name uncultured bacterium. RNAcentral describes it as "partial 16S ribosomal RNA". It matches the Rfam family "Bacterial small subunit ribosomal RNA", at positions 524 to 776 of the family's 1533-position model. The record is from RNAcentral.